AACGAACGCUGGCGGCGUGGAUAAGACAUGCAAGUCGAACGCUUGUUCAGGUGUAGCAAUACAUUUGAGCAGGAGUGGCGCAAGGGUGCGUAACACGUGGGUAAUUUGCCAUGAAGUUUGGAAUAACUCGCUGAAAGGCGAGCUAAUACCGGAUACGACAAUCGGAAAGCAUUUUCUGAUUUUCAAAGUUGGGGAUCGUAAGACCUGACGCUUUAUGAUAAGCCCGCGGCCUAUCAGCUAGUUGGUGAGGUAAUGGCUCACCAAGGCUAAGACGGGUAGCUGGUCUGAGAGGACGACCAGCCACACUGGAACUGAGACACGGUCCAGACACCUACGGGUGGCAGCAGUCGAGAAUUUUUCUCAAUGGGGAAACCCUGGAAGAGCGACGCCGCGUGGAGGAUGAAGGUCUUCGGAUUGUAAACUCCUGUCAUUGGUGAACAAGAUUCUGCCGUUAACUGCGGUGGAAUUUGAUAGUAGCCGAAGAGGAAGGGAC
Molecule: ribosomal RNA, 493 nt
Filed under: uncultured bacterium
Lineage: Bacteria
Description: bacterial SSU rRNA
Rfam family: Bacterial small subunit ribosomal RNA
Source: RNAcentral